CGGUGCGAUCAUACCAGCACUAAUGCACCAGAUCCCAUCAGAACUUCGAAAUUAAGCGUACUUGGGUGAGAGUAUUACUUGGAUGGGUGACUUUUUAGGAAGUCCUCGUGUUGCACCCC
Molecule: ribosomal RNA, 119 nt
Filed under: Nelumbo nucifera (sacred lotus)
Lineage: Eukaryota; Viridiplantae; Streptophyta; Magnoliopsida; Proteales; Nelumbonaceae
Source: RNAcentral